Non-coding RNA from Pelobates cultripes (western spadefoot toad), 301 nucleotides. Lineage: Eukaryota; Metazoa; Chordata; Amphibia; Anura; Pelobatidae. The record is from the annotation of a GenBank genome assembly.
AAAAUGGAUCAAAAAGUCAAUAUUGGCAUAAAGUCACUAUGUGAAAGUCCACAAAUAGAGCAAUAUAUGUGAUCAAAUACAAAUAAAAAAUAAUAUGUGUUGAAAAAGUCACUGAAAAAAAGGAAUAAAAAGUCCACAGUCUUUGCAACAAUAAUGCUGUUUGAAACUGUUAUUGUAAAUAGUUUUCACAAUGUUAGCUUGUAGCAGUUAGCCUCAGUUACAGAGUUUGACUGGGGUUUAUCUGCCACACAAGGUUUUUGAAUAUAGUACAAAAGACAAAUAUCUUCUUCCUUAAAUGCUG